UACGUAGGCAGCAAGCGCUGGUCGGAAUUACUGGGCGUAAAGAGGGUGUAGGCGGUGCUGCAAGUCUGGUGUGAAAUCUCCCGGCUUAACUGGGAGGGUGCAUUAGAAACUGGAAUGCUAGAGGAUGGGAGAGGUAAGCGGAAUUCCUGGUGUAGCGGUGAAAUGCGUAGAUAUCAGGAGGAACACCUGUGGUGUAGACAGCUUACUGGACCAUUUCUGACGCUGAGACACGAAAGCGUGGGUAGCAAACAGG
Molecule: ribosomal RNA, 253 nt
Filed under: uncultured bacterium
Lineage: Bacteria
Description: partial 16S ribosomal RNA
Rfam family: Bacterial small subunit ribosomal RNA
Source: RNAcentral